AUGCAUGAUGAUCCGAACUUUGUGAAUACUUGUUGGCCCGAGUUUAUUAAUUCAGCCUUGAUUGAUUGUUCACGAGCACAUAGUUUAGCAUACCGAGCAAACCAAGGUCGUUAGGUAUAAAUGGAGCUUGCAUGGGUAGACGCGGUCGUUGUGGACAAGGAUCGUGAAUGCUUUGAUUGAACUUUAUGACAUUACAUACUUAUUUAUGAUUGGGCUUUUACUCAUUUGCUUCCGCUAAACGUUGAAUUUAUACUUAUGUUUUGAAACACCUUUCAUAUGGAUUGGUUUGGUUAAUGACAUUUACUUUUUCUAUAUACGUUGUUCUAUAUGAUUGGUGGCUUGAUCCUGGUCAGUCACGCCUCCAAGCGGUGAUACUCCGCGUUGUGGAUUUUGGGGGUGUGACAGAUUGGUAUCAGAGCCAUUGGUUAUAGAGAACUCGGUUUUAAUAAGGGAAAAACGUUUUUAUUAAAACCAGACUAUAACCAGUACAGUGCUCAACGAUCCACAACGACGCCUCGCUCCACGUUCAAGACUCGACAUCCUAGGUCGUUAGGUAUACAUGGAGCUUGCAUGGGGAGACACGGUCAUUGUGGACAAGGAUCGUGAAUGCUUUCAUUGAACUUUAUGACAUUACAUACUUAUUUAUGAUUGGGCUUUUACUCAUUUGCUUCUGCUAAACGUUGAAUUUAUACUUAUGUUUUGAAACACCUUUCAUAUGGAUUGGUUUGGUUAAUGACAUUUACUUU
This 746-nucleotide long non-coding RNA is filed under the name Helianthus annuus (common sunflower). RNAcentral's name for it is "hypothetical non coding rna". Lineage: Eukaryota; Viridiplantae; Streptophyta; Magnoliopsida; Asterales; Asteraceae. The record is from RNAcentral.